This 405-nucleotide ribosomal RNA is filed under the name Triticum aestivum (bread wheat). RNAcentral describes it as "partial small subunit ribosomal RNA". The record is from RNAcentral. Lineage: Eukaryota; Viridiplantae; Streptophyta; Magnoliopsida; Poales; Poaceae.
AUGUUUUCCAGUUCACGGCAGCCUACGGCUAUCGCUGUUAGUCCUACUUGGGAAACUCCGCCUUCCUCUUCUUGCAUGCCAGGAUCAUCUUCCCCUCGCUCAACUCUGAGCCUUUGUAGCUUCUUGCAUGUGUCUCCGACAACCCCCAAUCCUCUAUCUCCAAUCACAUUUUGCAAUGAGCUGGCAAUGAUCUUCAGUGGUGAGGAAACUGUACAGCAAAUCCAGCUUCUUGAGUACAGCAGAAAAAGGAAAGAUUAUGUGCAUCUCAUUUGUCCCCAUGAAGGUAAGUCCGAAGGAGCAAAGCUUCGAAGGAAGCUUAACAUUUCCAUACUUUUGCUCACUGAUUUCCGCUCCAGCAAAUUCUUGCAAAGAUGUAGCUAUUUGGAAAAAUCCAAUCAAAUCUGA